UGAGGAAUAUUGGUCAAUGGGCGCAAGCCUGAACCAGCCAUCCCGCGUGCAGGAAGACGGCCCUAUGGGUUGUAAACUGCUUUUCCAGGGGGAGAAUUUUUCUGUCGUGACAGAAAUUACCGGUACCCUGGGAAUAGGAAUCGGCUAACUCCGUGCAAGCAGCCGCGGUAAUACGGAGGAUGCGAGCGUUAUCCGGAUUUAUUGGGUUUAAAGGGUGCGUAGGCGGAUAGAUAAGUCAGUGGUGAAAACCUGCAGCUUAACUGUAGACUUGCCGUUGAUACUGUCAGUCUUGAGUAUGGUCAAGGUAGGCGGAAUGUGUAAUGUAGCGGUGAAAUGCUUAGAUAUUACACAGAACACCGAUUGCGAAGGCAGCUUGCUGGGCCAUUACUGACGCUGAUGCACGAAAGCGUGGGGAUCGAACA
RNAcentral lists this ribosomal RNA (422 nucleotides) under uncultured prokaryote. RNAcentral describes it as "bacterial SSU rRNA". It matches the Rfam family "Bacterial small subunit ribosomal RNA", at positions 355 to 774 of the family's 1533-position model. The record is from RNAcentral.